AAAGGAAUGCUAAUACCGCAUACGUCCUACGGGAGAAAGCAGGGGAUCUUCGGACCUUGCGCUAAAUGAUGAGCCUAAGUCGGAUUAGCUAGUUGGUGGGGUAAAGGCCUACCAAGGCGACGAUCUGUAGCGGGUCUGAGAGGAUGAUCCGCCACACUGGGACUGAGACACGGCCCAGACUCCUACGGGAGGCAGCAGUGGGGAAUAUUGGACAAUGGGGGGAACCCUGAUCCAGCCAUGCCGCGUGUGUGAAGAAGGCCUUAUGGUUGUAAAGCACUUUAAGCGAGGAGGAGGCUACUCUAGAUAAUACCUAGAGAUAGUGGACGUUACUCGCAGAAUAAGCACCGGCUAACUCUGUGCCAGCAGCCGCGGUAAUACAGAGGGUGCGAGCGUUAAUCGGAUUUACUGGGCGUAAAGCGUGCGUAGGCGGCUGAUUAAGUCGGAUGUGAAAUCCCUGAGCUUAACUUAGGAAUUGCAUUCGAUACUGGUCAGCUAGAGUAUGGGGAGAGGAUGGGUAGAAUUCCAGGUGUAGCGGUGAAAUGCGUAAAAUCUGGAAGAAUACCGAUGGCGAAGGCGGCC
RNAcentral lists this ribosomal RNA (579 nucleotides) under Acinetobacter sp. SS4. Its description in RNAcentral is "bacterial SSU rRNA". It matches the Rfam family "Bacterial small subunit ribosomal RNA", at positions 154 to 726 of the family's 1533-position model. Lineage: Bacteria; Pseudomonadati; Pseudomonadota; Gammaproteobacteria; Moraxellales; Moraxellaceae. The record is from RNAcentral.